This 670-nucleotide long non-coding RNA is filed under the name Homo sapiens (human). Its description in RNAcentral is "HSALNT0340964". The record is from RNAcentral. Lineage: Eukaryota; Metazoa; Chordata; Mammalia; Primates; Hominidae.
CACCUAUAUGACUGGCCCAGUGAUGGGUGAAAAUCCUCUCUGAGAGCAGGGCCCAUUCAGGAGAGUCAUAUCACCUAGCUGCUUGGCCAAGCAAUAUAUCACAAUGACCCCUUUGCACAGGACCAAGACAAGACAGCUCCAUGACCAGGGAGCUGGGUCCAGCUAUGUGUCACAAUUCCUUUUGUGGAAAGUGCCCAGUUAGAAGAGCAGAGUCACAGCACCUAGGUGAUGGACCCAGAGAGAUGCCACAACGCCAUUUGUGGGCUGGGCCCUGGGAGAAGAAUAACAUCACCCGGUGCUGGGCCCAGCAAUAUGUUGCAAUCCCAACUGGAAAAAGCCAAUAGAUGAAAAAAGAUUCAAGGAAGACACAUUUGCUUUUUAUUCACUCAUCACUUCCCAUCACUAUGCUGACCAGAGUCAAUGUGAGCAGAGUUGAGAAUAGCAGUUUUCUGGCAGGAGAGCCACUUCUCAGCAAAAAAUGACACACUCAAAGUAUAAAUCUUUCAUGGAAGGCUCACAUAUUUUCAGCAAAUUAAGCAUAUGCAUGAAUAAAAUUCUUGUGGUGAAAUAAAGAUUCAUUUUAUUGAUUCCUAUUGAGCUCAGGUAAUAUUGGAUGAAAAGCAAAAAAAUUAUUUGAAAUAGAAAUAUUGUGAAUAAAGUUAUUGUCAAU